Molecule: ribosomal RNA, 427 nt
Filed under: uncultured bacterium
Lineage: Bacteria
Description: partial 16S ribosomal RNA
Rfam family: Bacterial small subunit ribosomal RNA
Source: RNAcentral
UGGGGAAUAUUGGACAAUGGGCGAAAGCCUGAUCCAGCCAUGCCGCGUGUGUGAAGACGGUCUUCGGAUUGUAAAGCACUUUAAGUUGGGAGGAAGGGCAUUAACCUAAUACGUUAGUGUUUUGACGUUACCGAAAGAAUAAGCACCGGCUAACUCUGUGCCAGCAGCCGCGGUAAUACAGGGGGUGCAAGCGUUAAUCGGAAUUACUGGGCGUAAAGCGCGCGUAGGUGGUUUGUUAAGUUGGAUGUGAAAUCCCCGGGCUCAACCUGGGAACUGCAUUCAAAACUGACUGACUAGAGUAUGGUAGAGGGUGGUGGAAUUUCCUGUGUAGCGGUGAAAUGCGUAGAUAUAGGAAGGAACACCAGUGGCGAAGGCGACCACCUGGACUAAUACUGACACUGAGGUGCGAAAGCGUGGGGAGCAAACA